This 216-nucleotide long non-coding RNA is filed under the name Vigna radiata. RNAcentral describes it as "long non-coding RNA (VRAD_LNC015407)". Lineage: Eukaryota; Viridiplantae; Streptophyta; Magnoliopsida; Fabales; Fabaceae. The record is from RNAcentral.
AGGUGCUGGUAUAAGACCGAGCACUAAAAUAACAGAAGGCUAGUCUAUGAUCGAGCACUUCUCGAGGCCGAGCACUCUUCAAGACCGAGCACUCAACAAUGAAUAUCAUAUGUGUAAGAACGAACGCUAUUCUAAGAAAUGACAAUUAAUAUGAGACCGAGUACUCAGUCUAUGACCGAGCACGUCAAGGGUCGAACGCUCAGUAUAAGACCGAAC